RNAcentral lists this ribosomal RNA (184 nucleotides) under Bacillota bacterium. Its description in RNAcentral is "partial 16S ribosomal RNA". It matches the Rfam family "Bacterial small subunit ribosomal RNA", at positions 1 to 181 of the family's 1533-position model. Lineage: Bacteria; Bacillati; Bacillota. The record is from RNAcentral.
UUCAUGGAGAGUUUGAUCCUGGCUCAGGACGAACGCUGGCGGCGUGCCUAAUACAUGCAAGUCGAGCGGACCGACGGGAGCUUGCUCCCUUAGGUCAGCGGCGGACGGGUGAGUAACACGUGGGUAACCUGCCUGUAAGACUGGGAUAACUCCGGGAAACCGGGGCUAAUACCGGAUGCUUGAU